This is a non-coding RNA of Bacillus pumilus SAFR-032, 212 nucleotides long. The record is from Rfam. Lineage: Bacteria; Bacillati; Bacillota; Bacilli; Caryophanales; Bacillaceae.
AGAUGUGCGAUGACAAGGAUUAGUAAGCAAAAUAAUGAUGCAAGAGAGUGAGGUCCACCGGCUGUAAGACCUCACCAUCCUCUUUUUUGCUGAACCUACCCUUUGAGCUGUUAGGCAAACCUAAACGUUUCCCGCGUUAAGGGACUAGAGCUGAGUAUGCAUAUUUGCAUGCUAAUUGAGGGUGGUACCGCGAAAAACCUUUCGUCCUUUUC